GUGGGGAAUAUUGGACAAUGGGCGCAAGCCUGAUCCAGCAAUGCCGCGUGUGUGAAGAAGGUCUUCGGAUCGUAAAGCACUUUCGACGGGGACGAUGAUGACGGUACCCGUAGAAGAAGCCCCGGCUAACUUCGUGCCAGCAGCCGCGGUAAUACGAAGGGGGCUAGCGUUGCUCGGAAUUACUGGGCGUAAAGGGCGCGUAGGCGGCUCUGUGAGUCAGGCGUGAAAUUCCUGGGCUUAACCUGGGGACUGCGCUUGAUACUGCAGGGCUUGAGGCCGAGAGAGGGUGGUGGAAUUCCCAGUGUAGAGGUGAAAUUCGUAGAUAUUGGGAAGAACACCGGUGGCGAAGGCGACCACCUGGCUCGGUUCUGACGCUGAGGCGCGACAGCGUGGGGAGCAAACAGGAUUAGAUACCCCAGUAGUCC
This 425-nucleotide ribosomal RNA is filed under the name uncultured bacterium. RNAcentral describes it as "partial 16S ribosomal RNA". It matches the Rfam family "Bacterial small subunit ribosomal RNA", at positions 354 to 796 of the family's 1533-position model. The record is from RNAcentral.